GAAGAGAGCAGUGGUUUGUUAGCUGUGUUGUGGAUAAGGAGUAGGAGUCAGUGCUGCAAAGAGCUGCCCAUGAGGAAUCACUCAAAGACACCUUCAAAUAAAAGGCUCCCUCAAUGGAACUCUCCCUCUGCAUUGAUCUGAUUGACAGGAGAAAUCCCAAGACUUAAGCAAAUCACAGAAAUGGAGGAAACCCUGCUCUCAGGAUUCCCAGCAGUGUAGUAGAUCAACAGACCUGCACAGACUUCUGAAUCAGAUUUCUCACCUGAAAUCAGUGUCAGGGUGGUUGUCACGGUACUUCCUCAAGCAGCAAGUUCUGCAGGACAGGAGCCUUAAGGCAUAAGCAGGUGUUGGGAAUGGCAGCCUUCAGUCUAAAGCUGUGCUUAAAAAUAGAGCCACUACAGACAGACAGGACACUAAUUUUUACCCCUCCUUGAAUGCCCUGGAACUCAGUAUUAGAGCACCUGUCCCAGCAAUUGGCUUUUUUUAAACUCCACAUUUAAAGAUGGUAAAGGCCCCCUCUCUUUCAUGCACUUGUCUGCUACUUAGCUCUUUUAGAAGAACAUGUGGUACAUGUAAUGGUGUAUUUGAAGGCAAAAGUGUCACUUGCAAUGAGAAGGGUGGAAAUUAACCUCAAUACUUUUUCCAUGUUCGUUUUGAUUAAAGGGUAUUCUCUUUCCAGCAGCAUUUUCUCUCAUGAGCAGCUCCACUGAGGUCAGUGAGACUGCUUUUCAGGCUGUAGGAUUUACCUCUUGAUGAAUAUAACCCAAAAAAGACAAGUGGAAAAU
Molecule: long non-coding RNA, 785 nt
Organism: Passer montanus (Eurasian tree sparrow)
Lineage: Eukaryota; Metazoa; Chordata; Aves; Passeriformes; Passeridae
Exons: 3
Source: RefSeq, a predicted model, not a curated record